RNAcentral lists this ribosomal RNA (262 nucleotides) under Peribacillus muralis. RNAcentral's name for it is "Bacillus muralis partial 16S ribosomal RNA". It matches the Rfam family "Bacterial small subunit ribosomal RNA", at positions 519 to 780 of the family's 1533-position model. The record is from RNAcentral. Lineage: Bacteria; Bacillati; Bacillota; Bacilli; Caryophanales; Bacillaceae.
GGUAAUACGUAGGUGGCAAGCGUUGUCCGGAAUUAUUGGGCGUAAAGCGCGCGCAGGUGGUUCCUUAAGUCUGAUGUGAAAGCCCACGGCUCAACCGUGGAGGGUCAUUGGAAACUGGGGAACUUGAGUGCAGAAGAGGAAAGUGGAAUUCCAAGUGUAGCGGUGAAAUGCGUAGAGAUUUGGAGGAACACCAGUGGCGAAGGCGACUUUCUGGUCUGUAACUGACACUGAGGCGCGAAAGCGUGGGGAGCAAACAGGAUUA